AUGGUGAGGCCAGUUUCCAUUCUGCAUGUUGCCUUAUUUUCUUCUAUAUCAGCAAUUUGCGAGGUAAUUUUAAAUCAUUUUGUAUGCUCAUCGAUGUUGAUCUAUGGCAAGAGUCUGGUUCAUCACAACAUCGGUGUUGUUUGGUUCUUCUUUUCUCCAAGCAUGGUUCUGGCUCGGCAGUGCACCAUAACUAGAGUUUUCACACCUGACAGUCACGCCCACCUAAAAUGGGCAUCCUUUGUCAUUGUUGCAUUCCUCUCACGUAUUCUUAAUCAUGAAGCUUCUCGUAGGAACAAAAAAAUUAAACAAACAAGUAUGAAUGGAUAG
This 327-nucleotide ribosomal RNA is filed under the name Triticum aestivum (bread wheat). RNAcentral describes it as "partial small subunit ribosomal RNA". The record is from RNAcentral. Lineage: Eukaryota; Viridiplantae; Streptophyta; Magnoliopsida; Poales; Poaceae.